AAGAUAAAAAAAUUACAGCAGCGGAGGAGUCUGAAUUUAGAACGGAGGCAUCUGCUAGAAGACCGAAGGUAUCCAAAGUAUGUGAAUACCUUCAGGCAGCUGGUUUGUACACCAAGUCUUCGUUGGCUUAUGAAUGCUUCUGAAAAGGAAAAUAUCAUGUACCGACUCAAUUGUCAUAAUACUAUGGAUAUCUCUGGCUGCUUUUGUGGGAUUUCUCUUUCUUAUUUUGAAUCUAAUGUCUCUCGGGGUGAAGCUUCCAAAGAUACACAAAUCCAAAGUGAGGGAACACCAUGAAA
Molecule: long non-coding RNA, 296 nt
Organism: Cyprinodon tularosa
Lineage: Eukaryota; Metazoa; Chordata; Actinopteri; Cyprinodontiformes; Cyprinodontidae
Exons: 3
Source: RefSeq, a predicted model, not a curated record